Molecule: long non-coding RNA, 284 nt
Filed under: Volvox carteri
Lineage: Eukaryota; Viridiplantae; Chlorophyta; Chlorophyceae; Chlamydomonadales; Volvocaceae
Description: long non-coding RNA (VCAR_LNC001243)
Source: RNAcentral
GAGUCUUGUGGGCCCUGUAGGCCCUGUGUCACGGGGCCUAACGCAACCGUGCUGGCUUGCCGGGAGGCAAGGACCAUUCCUGACCAACAAUCAGUGACAGCCUCGACCGCUAGGCCCAGGUCUGAAUACGAACGCUCGGUGGCACAUUGUCCCGCCGGGCCUCUUCACCCUGGAGUCCCAAAACCUAAGAACACAGAUAGCCCUAUCGGAUUGCAGUGACCGGACCGCACUGAGAUAGCUUACCACGAUAGAAACAGAUCGAUCACGGUGUGGGGGGAUUUCGC